AGAAUCUCUGGGCCGAACUAGGGAAAGAAGAAGGUCCCGAAGCCCUACUCCUCAGAGAUCAAAGAGGACAUAUCACCCCGUCGAUUCUAGGGGACAGGGACGAAGCGAAAGAAGAGGUCGAUCCAGGGAUCGCACUCCAGAGCAUACAAAGAAAGCAAUUGUUGUUGCACAUUCUCACCAUAGCGCCCGAGUUCAGAGGCGAAGCAUAUCGAGAGGACAUACUCCCGAGAGUCUACUGAGGGCACCCCGCCCUGUAGACACUCGUCAUCGG
Molecule: long non-coding RNA, 271 nt
Filed under: Panax ginseng (ginseng)
Lineage: Eukaryota; Viridiplantae; Streptophyta; Magnoliopsida; Apiales; Araliaceae
Description: long non-coding RNA (PGIN_LNC008811)
Source: RNAcentral